RNAcentral lists this ribosomal RNA (497 nucleotides) under uncultured bacterium. RNAcentral describes it as "partial 16S ribosomal RNA". It matches the Rfam family "Bacterial small subunit ribosomal RNA", at positions 28 to 507 of the family's 1533-position model. The record is from RNAcentral.
GAUGAACGCUGGCGGCGUGCCUAAUACAUGCAAGUCGAGCGAACGGACGAGAAGCUUGCUUCUCUGAUGUUAGCGGCGGACGGGUGAGUAACACGUGGAUAACCUACCUAUAAGACUGUGAUAACUUCGGGAAACCGGAGCUAAUACCGGAUAAUAUUUUGAACCGCAUGGUUCAAAAGUGAAAGACGGUCUUGCUGUCACUUAUAGAUGGAUCCGCGCUGCAUUAGCUAGUUGGUAAGGUAACGGCUUACCAAGGCAACGAUGCAUAGCCGACCUGAGAGGGUGAUCGGCCACACUGGGACUGAGACACGGUCCAGACUCCUACGGGAGGCAGCAGUAGGGAAUCUUCCGCAAUGGGCGAAAGCCUGACGGAGCAACGCCGCGUGAGUGAUGAAGGUCUUCGGAUCGUAAAACUCUGUUAUUAGGGAAGAACAUAUGUGUAAGUAACUGUGCACAUCUUGACGGUACCUAAUCAGAAAGCCACGGCUAACUACGUG